This is a long non-coding RNA of Chinchilla lanigera (long-tailed chinchilla), 861 nucleotides long. RefSeq lists it as uncharacterized. The record is from RefSeq and is a predicted model, not a curated record. The transcript is spliced from 4 exons. Lineage: Eukaryota; Metazoa; Chordata; Mammalia; Rodentia; Chinchillidae.
UUAAGUGCAGAGCGUGUUUAGGAUGAUUGGAGCCUAAAAUGGAGUUCCACAUUACACAUGAACAUAGAGUAUUUGCUCCAUGAUUUUAAAUGCAUGAAGUUUUCUAGGAAUAAAGUUGGGGAAUCAAGGAGAGAACGGAUUUUCUGUUGUUCCAGACUUUACCAAGAAUUUUAUGUCUUUUGUAUUAAUCACAUCCCUGAUGACAAUCUACUAUGUAACUGAGUUACCACACACACACACACACACACACACACACACACACACACCAGUUACAGCUACCACAUUUGAAGAGCUCCUCUUUCGGCAUGCAGCCCCUUGCCUUCUUCACCCUGCCUUCUAACGUCAUCAUGCCAAAUCUCUGCAUCUUGAAACACACGCGAUGUCACCAUAAGACAGUGAGGAAUGGGAGGAAGGAGACUGUGUCUUUCAUCUCCUGUCUCUGCGUGUGGCAGAGGCCUGAGGACAUGCUGCCUGGCCUGAGACCAGCAGUCGUCCCUUACUCAUGGAGGAUGCUGUACAAUUAGGUAGAGAGGAGGAGCUGCACUUCUCCAAGGUGCCGUGAACUCCUCUCCAGCAGUGAGUGGAAAGAGAACUUUAAUGAGCUUUAAAAGAAGACAAUAAGGAAGAUACAAAGACGUGGCCAUCUGGACUUCAGCUGUUUAUGAGGAUAUAAACCUGGACCCAGACAACCCCUGAUUAGACUCAGAAGGGAAGCCAGAUGAACUGAAUGUCUGUAUGCCCCAGAGACUGGGAGAGGUUCUCAGGACAGAGGUGCCCAGGUGUGACUACAGCCCUGGGGAGCUCACAGAUGCAUAACUGCAGGAGUGGUCAAGAAAGAUGAAGAAGGAGGAGAAGGAGGAG